This is a long non-coding RNA of Apteryx haastii (Great spotted kiwi), 1800 nucleotides long. The record is from Ensembl. Lineage: Eukaryota; Metazoa; Chordata; Aves; Apterygiformes; Apterygidae.
CUCUCUCUCUGUCCUGCGCCUCUCUCUCUCUCGCCUGCGCCUGUCUCUCGCCUGCGCCUCUCUCUCUCUCGCCUGCGCCUCUCUCUCUCUCGCCUGUGCCUCUCUCUCUCUCUCCCCUGCUCCUCUCUCUGUCUCUCGCCUGUGCCUCUCUCUCUCUCUCUGUCCUGCGCCUCUCUCUCUCUACUUCAUCUGCGCCUCUCUCUCUCUCGCCUGCGCCUCUCUCUCACCUGCGCCUCUCUCUCUCACCUGCCCCUCUCUCUCGCCUGCGCCUCUCUCUCUUUCUCUCUCGCCUGCCCCCUCUCUCUCUCUCUUCGCCUGCGCCUCUCUCUCCCUCACCUGCGCCUCUCUCUCUCUCCCCUGCGCCUCUCUCUCUUUCUCUCUCGCAUGCACCUCUGUCUAUCUCCCUCGUCUGCCCCUCUCUGUCUUUCUUUCCCCUGCGCCUCUCUCUCACCUGCGCCUCUCUCUCUCUCGCCUGCAUCUCUCUCUCUCGCCUGUGCCUCUCUCUCUCUCGCCUGCCCCUCUCUCUCGCCUGCGCCUCUCUCUCUCGCCUGCACCUCUCCCUCUUUCUCGCCCGUGCCCCUCUCUCUCUCUCCCUCACCUGCGCCUCUCUCUCUCUCGCCUGCGCCUCUCUCUCUUUCUCUCUCGCAUGCACCUCUGUCUAUCUCCCUCGCCUGCCCCUCUCUGUCUUUCUUUCCCCUGCACCUCUCUCUCACCUGCGCCUCUCUCUCUCUCGCCUGCACCUCUCUCUCUCUCGCCUGUGCCUCUCUCUCUCUCACUCUCCCCUGCAUCUCUCUCUCUCUCUCGCCUGUGCCUCUCUCUCUCUCUCGCUUGCGCCUCUCUCUCGCCUGUGCCUCUCUCUCUCUCUCUCUCGCCUGCACCUCUCUUUCUCUCGCCUGUGCCUCUCUCUCUCUCGCCUGCGCCUCUCUCUCGCCUGCCCCUCUCUCUCUCUCGCCUUUGCCUCUCUCUCUCUCUCCUGCUCCUCUCUCUCUCUCACUCUCCCCUGCAUCUCACUCUCUCGCCUGUGCCUCUCUCUCUCUUUCUCGCCUGCACCUCUCUCUCUCUCGCCUGCGCCUCUCUCUCUCUCCUGCCCCUCUCUCUCUCUCGCCUGCGCCUCUCUCUCUCUCCUGCCCCUCUCUCUCUCUCGACUGUGCCUCUCUCUCUCUCCCCUGCACCUCUGUCUCUCUCUCGCCUGCCCCUCUCUUUCUCGCCUGCAUCUCUCUCUCUCGCCUGCGCCUCUCUCUCUCGCCUGCCCCCCCUCUCGCCUGCCCCUCUCUCUCUCGCCUGUGCCUCUCUCUCUCUCCCCUGCACCUCUGUCUCUCUCUCGCCUGCCCCUCUCUUUCUCGCCUGCAUCUCUCUCUCUCUCACCUGCGCCUCUCUCUCUCUCUCGCCUGCGCCUCUCUCUCUCUUUCUUGCCUGCGCCUCUCUCUCCCCCCCCUCUCUCUCUCUCCUCGCCGGCCUCGUGCGGGGCCGCCUGAUGGAUUGCCGCACCAUUCAUCUAAAUUAUGUCACCGGCAAUAAGCAACUUGCUUAAUCCGCCUAACGAAGGGCCGGGUGGGCGAGCGCUGACACGUGCUUAACGCUGUCCUCCUCGCCGCCGCCGGCAGCCCCGUCCGCACCGCGCGGCCGGAAACGCCCUCGUGUUUACGGGCUUCCCGCGGGCUGUGCCGGGGCUGGAUCCGUGGGGCUGGCACUUCCAGCCAGCAGGGAUGCGAGAGGCGCCCGGCGCUGCCCAGCUCGCCCGCCUGCAUCCCAGCCUUGGCGCAGCCUGCUGCUUCCCGGGAUAAACUGCACCUGGUGCAG